RNAcentral lists this ribosomal RNA (253 nucleotides) under uncultured bacterium. RNAcentral's name for it is "partial 16S ribosomal RNA". It matches the Rfam family "Bacterial small subunit ribosomal RNA", at positions 524 to 776 of the family's 1533-position model. The record is from RNAcentral.
UACGGGGGGGGCAAGCGUUGUUCGGAAUUACUGGGCGUAAAGGGCUCGUAGGCGGCCAACUAAGUCAGACGUGAAAUCCCCAGGCUCAACCUGGGAACUGCGUCUGAUACUGGAUGGCUUGAAUCCGGGAGAGGGAUGCAGAAUUCCAGGUGUAGCGGUGAAAUGCGUAGAGAUGUGGAGGAACACCAGUGGCGAAGGCGACUCUUUGGCCUGUAACUGACGCUGAGGCGCGAAAGCGUGGGGAGCAAACAGG